UUUAGAUUGACCAACUAAUUUUUCUAAAAAUCGUAAGAAUCAUCCUAGAAAAAGGAGAAUAUUUGGUUAAUAUGUAUAUUAUAUUACAUCUAAAUUUGAGCACUUUAGAUAGAUACAGUAGUUGUUCAAAAAAAAAAUGAUAGAUACAGUAAAAUAAUUUGAUUUAGAACAAAAAAAUAAUAUGGCUAGUCUGUAUGCAUAUGUACACUAACACAGUCAAUAGCCAG
This 227-nucleotide long non-coding RNA is filed under the name Brassica napus (rape). RNAcentral's name for it is "long non-coding RNA (BNAP_LNC018562)". Lineage: Eukaryota; Viridiplantae; Streptophyta; Magnoliopsida; Brassicales; Brassicaceae. The record is from RNAcentral.